AGGUAAGCUACUAAGAGCGAAUGGUGGAUGCCUUGACUGGUAAAGGCGAUGAAGGACGUACUAGACUGCGAUAAGCUACGGGGAGCUGUCAAGAAGCUUUGAUCCGUAGAUUUCCGAAUGGGGCAACCCAAUGUAUAGAGAUAUACAUUACCUAUAUAGGAGCGAACGAGGGGAAUUGAAACAUCUUAGUACCCUCAGGAAAAGAAAUCAAUAGAGAUUGCGUCAGUAGCGGCGAGCGAAAGCGCAAGAGGGCAAACCCAGUGCUUGCACUGGGGGUUGUAGGACUGCAAUGUGCAAGAGGUAAGUUUAGCAGAACAUUCUGGAAAGUAUAACCAUAGAGGGUGAUAGUCCCGUAUGCGAAAAACAAACCUUAGCUAGCAGUAUCCUGAGUAGGGCGGGACACGAGGAAUCCUGUCUGAAUCCGGGUCGACCACGAUCCAACCCUAAAUACUAAUACCAGAUCGAUAGUGCACAAGUACCGUGAGGGAAAGGUGAAAAGAACUGAGGUGAUCAGAGUGAAAUAGAACCUGAAACCAUUUGCUUACAAUCAUUCAGAGCCCUAUGUAGCAAUACAGGGUGAUGGACUGCCUUUUGCAUAAUGAGCCUGCGAGUUGUGGUGUCUGGCAAGGUUAAGCAAACGCGAAGCCGUAGCGAAAGCGAGUCUGAAUAGGGCGCUUAGUCAGAUGCUGCAGACCCGAAACGAAGUGAUCUAUCCAUGAGCAAGUUGAAGCUAGUGUAAGAACUAGUGGAGGACUGAACCCAUAGGCGUUGAAAAGCCCCGGGAUGACUUGUGGAUAGGGGUGAAAGGCCAAUCAAACUUCGUGAUAGCUGGUUCUCUCCGAAAUAUAUUUAGGUAUAGCGUUGUGUCGUAAUAUAAGGGGGUAGAGCACUGAAUGGGCUAGGGCAUACACCAAUGUACCAAACCCUAUCAAACUCCGAAUACCUUAUAUGUAAUCACAGCAGUCAGGCGGCGAGUGAUAAAAUCCGUCGUCAAGAGGGAAACAACCCAGACUACCAGCUAAGGUCCCUAAAUCUUACUUAAGUGGAAAACGAUGUGAAGUUACUUAAACAACCAGGAGGUUGGCUUAGAAGCAGCCAUCCUUUAAAGAAAGCGUAAUAGCUCACUGGUCUAGUGAUUUUGCGCGGAAAAUAUAACGGGGCUAAAGUAAGUACCGAAGCUGUAGACUUGCACACAACUUAGAUUAUUUAAGUUUAGAAUAUGAGAAACUAAGUUAUAUGUUUAGUUAUAUUUUUACUGAUUUUUAUAGAGUAAAGAUAGAAAUAAAACUUAGUAAAAUCAGUAAAAAUAUUCUUAGACUAAAGUUAAGUAGUUUAAGUUGUGUGCAAGUGGUAGGAGAGCGUUCUAUUUGCGUCGAAGGUAUACCGGUAAGGAGUGCUGGAGCGAAUAGAAGUGAGCAUGCAGGCAUGAGUAGCGAUAAUUAAUGUGAGAAUCAUUAACGCCGUAAACCCAAGGUUUCCUACGCGAUGCUCGUCAUCGUAGGGUUAGUCGGGUCCUAAGUCGAGUCCGAAAGGGGUAGACGAUGGCAAAUUGGUUAAUAUUCCAAUACCAACAUUAGUGUGCGAUGGAAGGACGCUUAGGGCUAAGGGGGCUAGCGGAUGGAAGUGCU
This 1628-nucleotide ribosomal RNA is filed under the name Campylobacter jejuni. Its description in RNAcentral is "partial 23S ribosomal RNA". It matches the Rfam family "Bacterial large subunit ribosomal RNA", at positions 1 to 1508 of the family's 2925-position model. The record is from RNAcentral. Lineage: Bacteria; Pseudomonadati; Campylobacterota; Epsilonproteobacteria; Campylobacterales; Campylobacteraceae.